AUACGGAGGGUGCAAGCGUUACUCGGAAUCACUGGGCGUAAAGCGCGCGCAGGCGGUCUUUUAAGCUGGAUGUGAAAGCCUACGGCUCAACCGUAGAACUGCAUCCAAAACUAUUAGACUAGAGUGUGGGAGAGGAAGAUGGAAUUAGUUGUGUAGGGGUAAAAUCCGUAGAGAUAUCUAGGAAUACCAAAAGCGAAGGCAAUCUUCUGGAACACUACUGACGCUGAGGCGCGAAAGCGUGGGGAGCAAACAGGAUUAGAAACCCUAGUAGUCC
RNAcentral lists this ribosomal RNA (274 nucleotides) under uncultured bacterium. RNAcentral's name for it is "partial 16S ribosomal RNA". It matches the Rfam family "Bacterial small subunit ribosomal RNA", at positions 523 to 796 of the family's 1533-position model. The record is from RNAcentral.